Molecule: ribosomal RNA, 1656 nt
Filed under: Triticum aestivum (bread wheat)
Lineage: Eukaryota; Viridiplantae; Streptophyta; Magnoliopsida; Poales; Poaceae
Description: partial small subunit ribosomal RNA
Source: RNAcentral
AUGGACAGCAAGCCGGCGACGCGGGUGUCCCGCCGGCCGCCGCCGCAGCCACCGGCAGCCACGAGGAGCGCCGUGUGGCUCGUCGGCCUGCUCGUGACGCUCUGCUUCUUCUCCCUGCCGCUCUUCCUCGCGCUCUCCCCCAACCUCUCCGACGUGUGGCAUCUGGGCCUCAGCGUCACCGCGCGCCACGAGAACGCGACGGCUCAGUCAGAGUCUUCGGACUCGGCGCCGGCGAGCCGGGACAGGCUGCUCGGCGGCCUCCUGUCGCCGGACGUCAGCGAGGGGUCCUGCCUGAGCCGGUACGCGUCGUCCCUCCACCGCAGCAGGGCGUCGCCGCACUCGCCGUCGCCGUACCUGGCUUCCCGGCUGCGCAAGUACGAGGCGCUCCACCGCAAGUGCGGCCCGGGCACGCUCUCCUACAAGAAGUCGCUGAUGCAGCUCCCGUCCCCGCACAGCAUGGGCCUGGUGGAGUGCCGCUACCUCGUGUGGGCGCCCACCUCCGGCCACAUCGGCGACCGCGUGCUCUCCAUCGCGUCCGCCUUCCUCUACGCGCUGCUCACCCGCCGCGUCCUCCUCCUGCAGCUCGCCGACGACAUGGCCGGCCUCUUCUGCGAGCCCUUCCCGGGCGCCACGUGGGAGCUCCCCGCCGGGGGCUUCCUCGCCGACCGCAUCAAGGGGCUCCGCCGCGGCAGCGACCGCAGCUACGGGAACUUCAUCCGGGCCGCCAAGAACAACAAGGACGACGACCUGCGGGCGGAGUCGCUGCCGCCGUACGCGUACGUCCACCUGGAGCACGACUACCAGCAGCCGGAGCAGCUCUUCUUCUGCGACGAGGACCAGACCGUCCUCGGCAAUAUCAACUGGGUGAUCCUGCGCUCCAACCUCUACUUCGCCCCGGGGCUGUUCCUGGUGCCGCAGUUCGAGGAGGAGCUCCGGUGGAUGUUCCCGGCGAGCGACACGGCGUUCCACCACGUCGGGAGGUACCUCUUCCACCCGUCCAACGAGGUGUGGGAGCUCAUCACGAGCUACUACACGCCGUACAUGGCCAGCUUCCAAGAAAAGAUCGGUCUGCAGAUCGCCACCUUCGCCUGGAACCCCGUGCCGUUCGAGGAGUACUUCAAGCAGGUCUCGGCAUGCACGAGCCAGGAGAAGAUCCUGCCGGAGGUGGACACGACCCCGGGCGUCCUCCAUGAGGCUGCGGCGGGGGCGACGUCCAAGGCGGUGCUCGUCAGCUCGGAGCACCCGGAGUACGCCGAGAAGCUCAAGUCCAUGUACCACGAGCACGCGACCGUGACCGGCGAGACCGUCAGCGUGCUGCAGCCCGUCGACGUCGGCGGCGGGAACCACUCGCACAACCAGAAGGCGGUGGUGGAGAUGUUCCUGCAGAGCUACUGCGACGUGUCGGUGGUGAGCGGCUGGUCCACCGUGGGAUACGUCGGGCACGGCCUCGCCGGGGUGAAGCCGUGGCUGCUGCUGGCGCCGAGGAACCAGACGGCGGCCGACCCGCCCUGCGUCCAGGCGACGUCCAUGGAGCCGUGCUUCCACGCGGCGCCGAGCUACGACUGCAGGGCCAAGAAGAAGGGGGACCUCGGCGCCGUUCUCCGGCACGUCAGGCAUUGCGAAGAUGUCGGCGAUGGCCUCAAACUAUUUGACUGA